Molecule: ribosomal RNA, 253 nt
Filed under: uncultured bacterium
Lineage: Bacteria
Description: partial 16S ribosomal RNA
Rfam family: Archaeal small subunit ribosomal RNA
Source: RNAcentral
UACCAGCACCCCGAGUGGUCGGGACGUUUAUUGGGCCUAAAGCAUCCGUAGCCGGUUCUACAAGUCUUCCGUUAAAUCCAGCUGCUUAACAGAUGGGCUGCGGAAGAUACUAUGGAGCUAGGAGGCGGGAGAGGCAAGCGGUACUCGAUGGGUAGGGGUAAAAUCCGUUGAUCCAUUGAAGACCACCAGUGGCGAAGGCGGCUCGCCAGAACGCGCUCGACGGUGAGGGAUGAAAGCUGGGGGAGCAAACCGG